Long non-coding RNA from Etheostoma cragini (Arkansas darter), 173 nucleotides. RefSeq lists it as uncharacterized. The record is from RefSeq and is a predicted model, not a curated record. The transcript is spliced from 2 exons. NCBI's taxonomy places the organism in Eukaryota, Metazoa, Chordata, Actinopteri, Perciformes, Percidae.
GGGGCAGGGUCUAUUGGGUCUGACCCGGAUCUCACCGGAUCUGACUGUGGCACUCAGUACGGAGCCAGUGAUCACCAAGGCAUCCAGAGAGGUAACCGGCUCCCCAGGUGAAGACCAGGACAUAGCUCUGUCUGCACAACCUGAUUCAAUAAAGCUUCAGUUUGUUCACAUUC